CCUACGGGUGGCAGCAGUGAGGAAUAUUGGGCAAUGGGGGCAACCCUGACCCAGCCAUGCCGCGUGAGUGAAGAAGGUCUUCGGAUUGUACAGCUCUUUCGGACGUUACGAUGAUGCCGGUAGCGUCUAAAGAAGCCCCUGCCAACUUCGUGCCAGCAGCCGCGGUAAUACGAAGGGUGCGAGCGUGGUUCGGAAUUACUGGGCGUAAAGGGAGUGUAGGCGGAGAUGUAAGAUAGCGGUGAAAUGCCGGGGCUCAACCCCGGAACUGCCAUUAUGACUAUGUAUCUAGAGAAAGGGAGAGGAGAGCGGAAUACGCAGUGUAGAGGUGAAAUUCGGAGAUAUUGGGUAGAACACCGGUGGCGAAGGCGGCUAUCUGGCCAUUUACUGACGUUGAGGCUCGAAAGCAUGGGGAGCAAACAGGAUUAGAUACCCGAGUAGUC
RNAcentral lists this ribosomal RNA (440 nucleotides) under uncultured bacterium. RNAcentral describes it as "partial 16S ribosomal RNA". It matches the Rfam family "Bacterial small subunit ribosomal RNA", at positions 338 to 795 of the family's 1533-position model. The record is from RNAcentral.